CCUACGGGAGGCAGCAGUGAGGAAUAUUGGUCAAUGGACGGAAGUCUGAACCAGCCAAGCCGCGUGCAGGAAGACGGCUCUAUGAGUUGUAAACUGCUUUUGUACAAGGGUAAACCUGAACACGUGUGUUCAUCUGCAUGUACUUUACGAAUAAGGAUCGGCUAACUCCGUGCCAGCAGCCGCGGUAAUACGGAGGAUCCAAGCGUUAUCCGGAUUUAUUGGGUUUAAAGGGUGCGUAGGCGGAUUGUUAAGUUAGCGGUGAAAUGUCCGGGCUUAACCCGAGAAUUGCCGCUAAUACUGGUGGUCUGGAGAGUGGGUGAGGUAGGCGGAAUGUGUGGUGUAGCGGUGAAAUGCUUAGAUA
This 361-nucleotide ribosomal RNA is filed under the name uncultured bacterium. RNAcentral describes it as "partial 16S ribosomal RNA". It matches the Rfam family "Bacterial small subunit ribosomal RNA", at positions 338 to 696 of the family's 1533-position model. The record is from RNAcentral.